Oreochromis niloticus (Nile tilapia) is the source of this 1445-nucleotide long non-coding RNA. RefSeq lists it as uncharacterized. The record is from RefSeq and is a predicted model, not a curated record. NCBI's taxonomy places the organism in Eukaryota, Metazoa, Chordata, Actinopteri, Cichliformes, Cichlidae. The transcript has 3 exons.
CACUGGACCAGCUCAUAAAAGUCUUCAAGAAAAAAGGAGGCGCUGCAGUGAAGAAAAUUAGACAAACUUUGGCCCCUGCCACAAAGAAGCAAACUAUUGAAAAGGGGAGGGAGUGUGUCCUCAGGGCACUCCCUCUUUACCUAAAUGAAGACCCAAGCAUCCUCUUCAAAGAAUAAUUGAAAAACUGGAUGCCAUUUUUCUAUGUUUUUGUGUGUAAGCUACAGCUACAGCUGUUCAGAGGGAGCUGGAACAAAUUACCCUUGCUAUCUUUACCAUCGAAAGAGCUGAUGCCUCCAGCCGAUGUGGGUAUAACCAUCUAGGGUGUUCUGCAUGACCUGGAAGACAUGGCCUCUGCAUGUGCACUCUUAAUGGGUGGGAUAUAUGCACUGAAUCUCAGUUAACCUCGAGACUUAAAGCUUUCUUUGAAGUACUUCAGAAGCUCUUCCUUCAUCUGGAUGUCAGCAGACUCUUGACCAAGGUAGAGAUGCUCAAGAAUAAAUUGAAUGAAUAAGCCAACCCUUAAUUUGGAUGUUGAAUGUUCUGUCAGAUGGACAGAAGUUUUUCGGAGGCUGAAUGGGAAUAAAAUGGUAAUUUGUUGAAAAUGACAGAUAAAGGGAAAAUUACACUUAAGAGAAAUUUUGAAAAGUUUGUAAACUACUACAAUUUGACAGAUUUUACUCUUGUGUUACAUUUUGUGCAUUGUAAAGGUAAUUGCAAUACAUACUAAGAAUAACGGUAAGUUAGGAAUGCAGAAUGAAUGUAUAUUUUGCGGACUUUUAAAGACGAACAAUUGUUUCCAUGUUAAAAUGUUUACAACUCAAGUUUUUUGCCCAAACACUGGUAAAAUAAACGUUGACAGUGGCAAGUGUUAAAUGGUUACUGUUGUGCUGUUGCAAAAAACCUGAAUGCUGACAAGCUGUUUUAUUGUUAGACAAUGAUGCUGGCAUGUUUUAUUAAAGUUUUAUUUGGGAUGGUGAUAUAAUUUUCUUUGAUUGCUAAUAUCAGUGGACUGUUUAUUAUUAUUAUUAUUAUUAUUAUUAUUAUUAUUAUCAUUAUUAUUAUCAUUAUUAUCAUUAUUUUUUUAAUUGUGGCCGUUGAGGUACACACUUCACUUUGCAUGUGUUACUGGACUAACCCUAAGCAACCAUUGCAAAUAGCAACUUUGCUAUUCAUUUUAGACACUAGAAGAAAAAACACUCCACAAACCUUACUAGCAUCACAUGUGCAUAACUCAAGUGUCAUCUUAUCAACAUGUUAUGUAGUCUUCAAUGUUUUUUUUUCUUCUAUUUCUGGCAGAUACAGACAUUUAAUUUAAAGUAUUGAUGUUGCAUCUGUCUAUAUACUGUUAAUUACUAACCCUAAUGAGCUGUUGUAUUUCAUUUUGGACUGGGUUUACACAAAUGCUCACUGAAUGUGUUGGCAAUAAAAGAAAUUUUAAAAAAUAA